RNAcentral lists this transfer RNA (72 nucleotides) under Bos taurus (domestic cattle). It matches the Rfam family "tRNA". From Rfam's summary of the family: Transfer RNA (tRNA) molecules are approximately 80 nucleotides in length. Their secondary structure includes four short double-helical elements and three loops (D, anti-codon, and T loops). The record is from Rfam by way of RNAcentral. Lineage: Eukaryota; Metazoa; Chordata; Mammalia; Artiodactyla; Bovidae. RNAcentral also lists the same sequence under 1 other name.
UCCCUAGUGGCUCAGAUGGUAAAGCAUCUGUCUGCAAUGCAGGAGACCCAGGUUCAAUCCUUGAUUCGGGAA